GAUGAACGCUGGCGGCGUGCCUAAUACAUGCAAGUCGAGCGAACGGACGAGAAGCUUGCUUCUCUGAUGUUAGCGGCGGACGGGUGAGUAACACGUGGAUAACCUACCUAUAAGACUGGGAUAACUUCGGGAAACCGUAGCUAAUACCGGAUAAUAUUUUGAACCGCAUGGUUCAAAAGUGAAAGACGGUCUUGCUGUCACUUAUAGAUGGAUCCGCGCUGCAUUAGCGAGUUGGUAAGGUAACGGCUUACCAAGGCAACGAUGCAUAGCCGACCUGAGAGGGUGAUCGGCCACACUGGAACUGAGACACGGUCCAGACUCCUACGGGAGGCAGCAGUAGGGAAUCUUCCGCAAUGGGCGAAAGCCGGACGGAGCAACGCCGCGUGAGUGAUGAAGGUCUUCGGAUCGUAAAACUCUGUUAUUAGGGAAGAACAUAUGUGUAAGUAACUGUGCACAUCUUGACGGUACCGAAUCAGAAAGCCACGGCUAACUACGU
This 496-nucleotide ribosomal RNA is filed under the name uncultured bacterium. RNAcentral's name for it is "partial 16S ribosomal RNA". It matches the Rfam family "Bacterial small subunit ribosomal RNA", at positions 28 to 506 of the family's 1533-position model. The record is from RNAcentral.